AGCAGCCGCGGUAAUUCCAGCUCCAAUAGCGUAUAUUAAAGUUGUUGCAGUUAAAAAGCUCGUAGUUGAAUUUCGAGACCGGCUUACUGGUCGUGCUAUUGUACGUACUGGUAUAAUCGGUUUCUCCUUUCUGACGAACUAUAAUGCCAUUAAUUUGGUGUUUUAGGGAAUCAGGACUGUUACUUUGAAAAAAUUAGAGUGUUUAAAGCAGGCUCACGCUUGAAUACAUUAGCAUGGAAUAACGGAAUAGGACGUUUGAUUCUAUUUUGUUGGUUUCUAGGAUCGACGUAAUGAUUAAUAGGGAUAGUUGGGGGCAUUAGUAUUCAAUUGUCAGAGGUGAAAUUCUUGGAUUUAUUGAAGACUAACUACUGCGAAAAGCAUUUGCCAAGGAUGUUUUCAUUAAUCAAGAACGAAAGUUGGGGGAUCGAAGACGAUCAGAUACCGUCGUAGUCUUAACCAUAAACUAUGCCGACUAGGGAUCGGAUGAUGUAAUUUUUUAAAUGAACUCAUUCGGCGCCUU
Molecule: ribosomal RNA, 520 nt
Filed under: uncultured Glomus
Lineage: Eukaryota; Fungi; Glomeromycota; Glomeromycetes; Glomerales; Glomeraceae
Description: SSU rRNA
Rfam family: Eukaryotic small subunit ribosomal RNA
Source: RNAcentral